RNAcentral lists this long non-coding RNA (207 nucleotides) under Eutrema salsugineum. RNAcentral's name for it is "long non-coding RNA (ESAL_LNC001230)". The record is from RNAcentral. Lineage: Eukaryota; Viridiplantae; Streptophyta; Magnoliopsida; Brassicales; Brassicaceae.
AGACAGGAAGAUAUGGUCCCAUGUCGCACAAGAGUUCACCAAGGUCUAUGUGUGACUUAGCAGUGCGAGUCGUUCCAAGGCAAGUCCAUGUCGCACAAGGGAGUACAGGCCAAGCCAGUGAUGUCUAGCCUCACCUGGUGCAGCCACUCACUCCACCUUUGCAUAAAACCACACCAGGUAUCACUCCAACCACUUGUAAAUGAGCAU